Molecule: ribosomal RNA, 451 nt
Filed under: uncultured soil bacterium
Lineage: Bacteria
Description: bacterial SSU rRNA
Rfam family: Bacterial small subunit ribosomal RNA
Source: RNAcentral
UCGAGGGAAUCCAGCAAUGGGUGACCGGCAAACGGNNNNNGAACACGUACAGAAUCUACCUUUGUCUGGGGGAUAGCCCGGUGAAAACCGGAUUAAUACCCCAUAAUAUAUUUAUGUGGCAUCACAUUGAACAUUAAAGAUCCGUCGGAUGAAGAUGACUGUGCGUACUAUUAGGUAGUUGGUAAGGUAAUGGCUUACCAAGCCUACGAUAGUUAGCUGAUGUGAGAGCAUGAUCAGCCACACGGGCACUGAGACACGGGCCCGACUCCUACGGGAGGCAGCAGUGAGGAAUAUUGGUCAAUGGGCGCAAGCCUGAACCAGCCAUGCCGCGUGAAGGAUGAAGGCGUUCUGCGUCGUAAACUUCUUUUAUCUGGGAAGAAACCUACGAUUUCUAUUGUAGCCGACGGUACCAGAGGAAUAAGCACCGGCUAACUCCGUGCCAGCAGCCGCG